CUUCACUCUACCAGAAACAACUGCUCACAGGACACAUCUGGCCCCCAUGUCUUUUUAAAUGAAAGGAAAUCAAGAUAAGGUGAAGAGGAGAUCAGUUGCCUCUGCAGAAGGUGUCUGAGAAGGAGAUGUUGAAGCUUUGCUUCUCCUUGUGCUUCUCCUCUUCCCCCAUAAGUCAUCUGAGAAGACUGCUUAAAUAUUCCACGCUGCCUUAGUGUGACUCAAAUUUCCAGCUGUUUUGCUGCCAGGAAGAACCAGGUGCCUUGGGAACAGUGAGGCUGAAAGGAGCAGGAAGCAAAGAAUGAGGCUGUUGAAGAAAUUCCACAGAUAUUUCCGUGGAAGUAUCAAGAAGACCUAGAGUAAGGCAUCAUCAAAUUGAUAGACUUGAACAAAAGGGAGGAGUGAGACAGACGGAUGGAUACAGAGCAUGGAGGCCAUACUCUUGGUAUGUCUUCAAUUCAAGCAUUCCAAAUGAAAGGAUCUGAUUGGUUUGACAACACUCCCUCUCAGGUAAAAUAUUUCCAUCGGGAAGAACUCUAGAAGCAGUCGUUUGGAUGGUCAACCUUUGGCCAGG
This 571-nucleotide long non-coding RNA is filed under the name Homo sapiens (human). Its description in RNAcentral is "HSALNT0367421". The record is from RNAcentral. Lineage: Eukaryota; Metazoa; Chordata; Mammalia; Primates; Hominidae.